This 253-nucleotide ribosomal RNA is filed under the name uncultured bacterium. RNAcentral describes it as "partial 16S ribosomal RNA". It matches the Rfam family "Bacterial small subunit ribosomal RNA", at positions 524 to 776 of the family's 1533-position model. The record is from RNAcentral.
UACGAAGGGGGCUAGCGUUGCUCGGAAUCACUGGGCGUAAAGCGCACGUAGGCGGCUCUUUAAGUCAGGGGUGAAAUCCUGGAGCUCAACUCCAGAACUGCCCUUGAUACUGAGGAGCUUGAGUCCGGGAGAGGUGAGUGGAGCUGCGAGUGUAGAGGUGAAAUUCGUAGAUAUUCGCAAGAACACCAGUGGCGAAGGCGGCUCACUGGCCCGGUACUGACGCUGAGGUGCGAAAGCGUGGGGAGCAAACAGG